UACGAAGGGGGCUAGCGUUGCUCGGAAUCACUGGGCGUAAAGGGUGCGUAGGCGGGUCUUUAAGUCAGGGGUGAAAUCCUGGAGCUCAACUCCAGAACUGCCUUUGAUACUGAGGAUCUUGAGUUCGGGAGAGGUGAGUGGAACUGCGAGUGUAGAGGUGAAAUUCGAUAGAUAUUCGCAAGAACACCAGUGGCGAAGGCGGCUACUGGCCCG
Molecule: ribosomal RNA, 213 nt
Filed under: uncultured bacterium
Lineage: Bacteria
Description: partial 16S ribosomal RNA
Rfam family: Bacterial small subunit ribosomal RNA
Source: RNAcentral